This is a long non-coding RNA of Scylla paramamosain (green mud crab), 167 nucleotides long. RefSeq lists it as uncharacterized. Lineage: Eukaryota; Metazoa; Arthropoda; Malacostraca; Decapoda; Portunidae. The transcript is spliced from 2 exons. The record is from RefSeq and is a predicted model, not a curated record.
GACUCCUGUUUGACUUCACGCAUGCGCAGAGUAUGGUGAGGGAAGUGGGUCAAGACUCACCGGCGCCGGCCACAGUUCACUGCCGACUACCGAGGAGGGAAGUGCGGCGGUAGUGACGAAAACUUUGUUAUAGCUUCCUGUUGAUUAAGAGUACACCAAAUGCACUC